GGUUCAGCUAAGUUACUUCCUCAUCUGAACUGUCCGUCGCAGCGAGGAGCCUUUCUUCCUCCUCUUUGAAAACCUUUCACAUGAUUAAUGAGUUUCAAAAACACUUUAACCUCAGUUUCUUCCCUUACAUUUAUACUUUUAUAACUUUUUACCGUAUGGGACGGAACGUAUUUUCUCCAGUCUACUAUGGAUGAGGAGAGGGAGGAGGGGGGUCCUACCUCUAAGACCGCUCUGUCUGGGGAACAUGGCCGCCGGAGCAAAGCUAAGAGCCCAGAGAAGCAGGAAAGAGCAGACUCCCCUGGACCCAGCUGUGACUCCAUGAAGAGUGGCUGGUCUAUGGAACAUCCUAAUAGCUUUAAAGAUGGAAAUGAGUCUGUUGAGAAAAGAGUCCAGCAGCAGAGAGCAGACCCCCCUGGACCCAGCUGUGUCUCCAUGAAGAGUGA
Molecule: long non-coding RNA, 443 nt
Organism: Gadus morhua (Atlantic cod)
Lineage: Eukaryota; Metazoa; Chordata; Actinopteri; Gadiformes; Gadidae
Exons: 3
Source: RefSeq, a predicted model, not a curated record